Molecule: non-coding RNA, 25 nt
Filed under: Mus musculus (house mouse)
Lineage: Eukaryota; Metazoa; Chordata; Mammalia; Rodentia; Muridae
Source: RNAcentral
UUACAAUGCCAUCUGCUGCCAAGCA